Molecule: long non-coding RNA, 1943 nt
Organism: Electrophorus electricus (electric eel)
Lineage: Eukaryota; Metazoa; Chordata; Actinopteri; Gymnotiformes; Gymnotidae
Source: Ensembl
GGAAUUUCUCCCGCACGACGUCCGUGCUAAUACGCGAAGUGAAAUGAAGUCGAAUAUUAUUAGACAUCACUUUGGCCUCCUUUUACUUUGAAGAUACGAGUUCAGAUGAAAUUUUAAUCCGUUUCCGUCUGUGCGUCCUGUUAGCCGUGAGGUCACUUAGGCACGUGUACUGCGCGCUGCCGUCGAGGAAUUUGGUUGCAAACGUUUAAAUAAAUAAAUUAAGCAAAGAAAUUAUACAAGGCACAUUAAAUAACCUGAAAGAGAAAUCUUAAAGAUCAAGGAACAUGUCACGGGUAAUAUUUACAGACGUGUGACACCAAGGAUGUUAAUGAUGUUAAGCAGUCGGCGCGAAAGAAACGAAAUAUAAACCCAAAAAAGGCCAACCGAUGACUUAAUUCAGCUUCGGGACGUUUUCUGUAUAACUGUUAGACAGGAAACGCUGUAAUCCCAUAACUGAACUAAGCAAAUCCGGUGACACCUGAGUGACAGAAAGUUUCGAUUCACAUGUGAGGCCGCGUUUUAUGGCCACGCCCACUCGCUUACAUAUUCAAAUAGGUAUCGGUUCCUGAUACACGGUUUCGGUUUCUCAUGAGUCUACGACCGAGGGGAUAACGAAAGAACAACGUGACAACACGAUGUUUUAUAUCAUCAUCUUUAUUUGGGUGGUGUUCUGCAUUGAUGGUCAUGCCAUUAAAGAGCUGCACCUGGUGCUUCACUCUCUUGCUGCUACCCUCUAUGAGUUCUACCUUGCCGUUUUGUGCGUGCGCCGUGGCACGCUGCUCAUCCUCAGAUCACACUUCCCCCAGGAUGGGAGAAAUGGCGCCGCGCAGUUCGCGGAAGGCGUCUGUGAAGCAUGCCGGACGCUGCCGUACCUGCUCGGCGCGGCGACUGGCCUGUGCGUGGCGGGCAGCCACGCCCUGAAGGGGGCGCUGUUCCUCGUACCGUCGACCUUCGGCUUGCUGUUUGUGGACGACGCCGGGAUGGAGAGGUGGAGAAAGGAGCGGAAACGAGCCAGGAAGAACGCGCAGGUGGAGCGGUACCCAUCCGUGUACUGCUAUGACCCCAUGACCUUCCCGAGACUGAGGACUGGGAAAAUGUACUUCCAAGACUGACUGACUAUGCAACACAAUCUAAUGUAAUCACAAGAAAUAUGCAGACAAAUGAUUCUUUAAAUGCACUUUAAUUUUUUUUAAUCAUUAAUUAAUCAUUAAUCAUUAAAAAUGUUUCAUGUUGCCUUAUACAAAAUCCACACUUAUUGCAUGCUAAUUCACAGUGAUUUGAUUGUUUAGUGGUGUUUUGGUCAAGUAUUUCCUAUUAUAAAUUAUUGACAUUUAAAAUAUCUACAACUGUUCAUCAAAAACUACAGAUGUUCCAGCCACAAGGACGGAACGGCUGCUAAUUAUUGCGGAUUGUGUGCUGUUUUGUGUUUUAGUUUAAGAUUAACUUAGUUUAUUAGUUAUUAGUUUCAUUAAUUAUUAAUUAUAUAUAAUAUUCAUUCAUUAGUUUCCGGGUUACUUGAGUGUAUUAGCUUAAUACUUAUUAUUAUUACUAUUAACCGCAUUAUUAUUCCUGUUAACGUAACUGUUACACACUUGGUGGUGUGUGGUUGCUUCUCGCAAAGUAGAUCCGAUUUCCUUGGAGGGAUCAGGGUGUAGAGGCCGUCGAUAGAGAAACGUGUCAGUGGUGUAGCUGAUUCAGCGAUUGCUCAUACGCCAGACAGGAGGGGUUUCCGGCCCACAGCGGCAGGGGUUGGGUGUUAGAAACUUGAUUGGACUGUGCAUCGGAUGUUUGGAAGCGCUGGGCCAGGAUGCUGUGGCGCUCCCAAAGCCUCGGACGCCGUCACAGCCUGGCACAUGCCUUCAUCUGAGGAGUCACCCUGCCGACUGUAGCCACGGAGAGAGGAGAUGUUACUAUAGCAUCUGUAGUACAGAUGACUGGAAAGG